AGUACACAUCAGUGUAUUGCCUGCAAGUGAAUUCAUAGCUUGUCGGCGGCAGACGCGGGGAACUGAAACAUCUCAGUACCCGCAGGAAGAGAAAGAAAACUCGAUUCCCAUAGUAGCGGCGAGCGAAGUGGGAAGAGCCCAAACCGAGAAGCUUGCUUCUCGGGGUUGUAGGACUGGACAUUGGAGUUACCAAAGUUCGACGUAGUCGAAGUCAGCUGGAAAGCUGCGCCAUAGAAGGUGAAAGCCCUGUAAACGAAACGGCGGACCCUCCGUCCAGGAUCCUGAGUACGGCGGAACACGUGAAAUUCCGUCGGAAUCCGGGAGGACCAUCUCCCAAGGCUAAAUACUCCCUA
This 353-nucleotide ribosomal RNA is filed under the name Lacticaseibacillus casei. Its description in RNAcentral is "bacterial LSU rRNA". It matches the Rfam family "Bacterial large subunit ribosomal RNA", at positions 130 to 479 of the family's 2925-position model. Lineage: Bacteria; Bacillati; Bacillota; Bacilli; Lactobacillales; Lactobacillaceae. The record is from RNAcentral.